RNAcentral lists this unclassified non-coding RNA (831 nucleotides) under Hevea brasiliensis (rubber tree). The record is from RNAcentral. Lineage: Eukaryota; Viridiplantae; Streptophyta; Magnoliopsida; Malpighiales; Euphorbiaceae.
UGAGAACUCAGUAACAAAUGAUUUAGAACUGGAGAAAAAAUCCAAUAACAUUGACACCAACGUUGUCAAUGGGGAUAAAACAAACUCAAAAUCAGAGCUUGGAGGUGUAACAGCUGAUAAUGACCCUCCACUGAAUGUGACAGCUGGUGAAAAGAAGGAUGAUGAUAUCAUCAACGCUGAGGAUCUAUCAACCAAACAUGCAACAUUUGUUUCUGUAUCCAAUGACCAAGCAGAACUAAGCAAUACAUCAAUAGAUGUAAAUGUAGAAGCUGGCAAUAACACAGCACGUGGGAGUACCAAGACUUCUGGUUCAUCCCAGAAUAAUGGAACACUAGUUACAUCUGAUUCAAAUCAAGUUCAAAAUGCAACAAUUGGUGGUGCUAGCACUGGGAAAGCAUCUAACCUGAAAACCGCUGAAUUGGAACAGGUUAAUAGCACCAUGGUUUCCGGUAACAGAGAAAAUGAUUCUAAUUCAAGUAUCCCUGAUAAAACUGAGAAUGGUGACAUGGGUGCUGCAGAUUCAAAUUCCUCUACUAAAUCAGAGCCAGCUGGAUCAGAUAAGGUCGUUAAACCUGAAGUCACUACUGAAGCACAGGUCAAGUCUGAUGGAUCAGAUAAGAUCAUUAAACCUGAACCUGAAGUUAAAACUGAAGCAGAGGUCAAUUCUGGUUCAUCUUCAACAACAAAGGAGACUGCAGAUGCUGCUAAAGACGAGAACUCAGAUGUCAAGAAUGAAUCAGGUGGAGCAGGAGGAGACUCAGGCUCUUCUGCAACAGAUGGAACUGAAGCCGUUGUUCAGGAUCACAUUGAUUCUUCUGAUUCUUCAGUUGG